CGACAGCAAUAUGAAGGUCAGGCUGAAGACCUUACCCGAUUAGCUGAGAGGUGGUGCAUGGCCGUCGUCAGUUCGUACUGUGAAGCAUCCUGUUAAGUCAGGCAACGAGCGAGACCCACGUCCACAGUUGCCAGCAUACCCUCCGGGGUGAUGGGUACACUGUGGAGACCGCCGCUGCUAAAGCGGAGGAAGGAGUGGGCAACGGUAGGUCAGUAUGCCCCGAAUCUCCCGGGCUACACGCGGGCUACAAUGGUUGGUACAAUGGGCAUCUACCCCGAAAGGGGAAGGAAAUCUCUUAAAGCCAAUCGUAGUUCGGAUUGAGGGCUGCAACUCGCCCUCAUGAAGCUGGAAUCCGUAGUAAUCGCGUUUCAACAGAACGCGGUGAAUACGCCCCUGCUCCUU
RNAcentral lists this ribosomal RNA (402 nucleotides) under uncultured Methanosaeta sp. Its description in RNAcentral is "bacterial SSU rRNA". It matches the Rfam family "Archaeal small subunit ribosomal RNA", at positions 937 to 1338 of the family's 1478-position model. The record is from RNAcentral. Lineage: Archaea; Methanobacteriati; Methanobacteriota; Methanomicrobia; Methanotrichales; Methanotrichaceae.